AGGCGACUUCGCGAUGGAAACUAGAAAGAUCCAGACUAAUUUAUAUUUAUUUAAUUUACUUGGUUGGGAUACGUGCGGGGUAGACAUAGGCGGUGACUCCGAUGCUCCCGUUUUCUUUUCGUUUAUUCUGUUUUUCUUUGUUUUGCCUGUGAAAGUGUAGAGAGCUUUUCCAUCGGUUGAACUUGCUUUUUGGAAGAGCAAAAGGCAGCAGAUCAAAGCUGAUGAUGGUCACCGAACUGGAUAUGCAGAGAGAGAGGUCAUCAAAAGCACAGGCUCAGCCUCAGCCGAGAGUAUUUAAAGGGGCCGAAGAAUUCGAAUCGACUAGAAUGCACUCAGUAGUAGCACUGGGGUUAUGGCUGGGAGCCAUCCAUUUUAACGUUGCUUUGCUCCUCGUCUCCCUCUUCUUUCUACCUCUUUCUAAAGCACUUUUGGUUUUAGGAUUGCUUGCAAUUCUUAUGGUCAUUCCCAUUGAUGAGAAAAGCAGAUUGGGACGGCGAGUGUCUAGGUAUAUAUGUAAGCAUGUUUGCAAUUACUUCCCAGUUACUCUGCACGUAGAGGAUCUACAAGCCUUCCAUUCUGAUCGUCCUUAUGUCUUUGGUUAUGAACCACAUUCAGUUUUGCCAAUUGGCGUUGUUGCACUUGCUGACCUCACAGGUUUCAUGCCACUCCCAAAGAUAAAAGUCCUCGCAAGUAGUGCUGUGUUCUACACACCUUUUUUGAGGCACAUAUGGACAUGGUUGGGUCUUACUCCGGCGGCAAAGAAAAAUUUUGUCUCCCUCUUAGAUGCUGGUUAUAGUUGCAUCAUAGUGCCAGGGGGAGUACAAGAGACCUUUCUUAUGGAGCAUGGUUCUGAGAUUGCCUUCCUCAAGACGAGAAGAGGAUUUGUUCGAAUAGCCAUGGAGAUGGGGCACCCUCUGGUUCCAGUGUUCUGCUUUGGUCAGGUUUUCCAUGGCCCUGGAUGUCAAUUGCUUAUGAUCUUGUUGAUUAAUAUUCCUUUUUUGAUGAUGAAUCUCCUUUACCUAAGCAGCUAAUAUGUUUAUCUACUCCUCUCAUUUUCCCAAUUUUGCAACAGUCACGUGCCUAUAAAUGGUGGAAACCAGGUGGGAAGUUCUUCCUGAAAUUUUCUAGGGCCAUCAAGUUCACCCCAAUUUACUUCUGGGGAAUUUUGGGUUUUCUCUUUCACAGAUCUCCUUUACCCUUUAGACAUCCAAUGCAUGUGGUGGUGGGUAGACCAAUUGAGCUCAAGAAAAAUCCACAGCCCACUAUGGAAGAGGUCAUUGAAGCUCACAGGCAGUUUGUUGAAGCGCUUCAAGAUCUCUUUGAAAGGCACAAAGUACAGGCUGGCUAUGCUGAUCUUCAGCUGAAAAUUCUUUGAUUAGAUCCUGUUCCGAAAGGGAGAGGAUCCUAUUCUGAAAAAUAAGAUGUCUUAGAAUUAUGAACAUGAUCUCAACUUUGCAGGGGGGUAGAUUAUUUAUCUGAAUACCAUGAGACUAUUUGUGUCCA
Molecule: RNA transcript, 1503 nt
Organism: Carya illinoinensis
Lineage: Eukaryota; Viridiplantae; Streptophyta; Magnoliopsida; Fagales; Juglandaceae
Gene name: diacylglycerol O-acyltransferase 2D
Exons: 10
Source: RefSeq, a predicted model, not a curated record